RNAcentral lists this transfer RNA (72 nucleotides) under Sphaerodactylus townsendi. Its description in RNAcentral is "tRNA-Ala". It matches the Rfam family "tRNA". From Rfam's summary of the family: Transfer RNA (tRNA) molecules are approximately 80 nucleotides in length. Their secondary structure includes four short double-helical elements and three loops (D, anti-codon, and T loops). Further hydrogen bonds mediate the characteristic L-shaped molecular structure. tRNAs have two regions of fundamental functional importance: the anti-codon, which is responsible for specific mRNA codon recognition, and the 3' end, to which the tRNAs corresponding amino acid is attached (by aminoacyl-tRNA synthetases). tRNAs cope with the degeneracy of the genetic code in two manners: having more than one tRNA (with a specific anti-codon) for a particular amino acid; and 'wobble' base-pairing, i.e. permitting non-standard base-pairing at the 3rd anti-codon position. Lineage: Eukaryota; Metazoa; Chordata; Lepidosauria; Squamata; Sphaerodactylidae. The record is from RNAcentral.
GGGUUGUGGCUCAGUGGUAGAGUAUCCAUUUUGGCAUGCAGAAGGUCCCAGGUUCAAUUCCUGGCAUAUUCG